RNAcentral lists this ribosomal RNA (253 nucleotides) under uncultured bacterium. RNAcentral describes it as "partial 16S ribosomal RNA". It matches the Rfam family "Bacterial small subunit ribosomal RNA", at positions 524 to 776 of the family's 1533-position model. The record is from RNAcentral.
UACAGAGGUCUCAAGCGUUGUUCGGAUUCAUUGGGCGUAAAGGGUGCGUAGGUGGCGUGGUAAGUCGGGUGUGAAAUUUCGGAGCUUAACUCCGAAACUGCAUUCGAUACUGCCGUGCUUGAGGACUGGAGAGGAGACUGGAAUUUACGGUGUAGCAGUGAAAUGCGUAGAGAUCGUAAGGAAGACCAGUGGCGAAGGCGGGUCUCUGGACAGUUCCUGACACUGAGGCACGAAGGCCAGGGGAGCAAACGGG